RNAcentral lists this ribosomal RNA (119 nucleotides) under Aegilops tauschii subsp. strangulata. The record is from RNAcentral. Lineage: Eukaryota; Viridiplantae; Streptophyta; Magnoliopsida; Poales; Poaceae.
GGAUGCGAUCAUACCAGCACUAAAGCACCGGAUCCCAUCAGAACUCCGAAGUUAAGCGUGCUUGGGCGAGAGUAGUACUGGGAUGGGUGACCUCCUGGGAGGUCCUCGUGUUGCAUUCC